UCGCAGAAACUUUAGAAGAUAGCGUAGA
RNAcentral lists this small RNA (28 nucleotides) under Bombyx mori (domestic silkworm). Its description in RNAcentral is "ovarian small RNA-28562". Lineage: Eukaryota; Metazoa; Arthropoda; Insecta; Lepidoptera; Bombycidae. The record is from RNAcentral.